GAUUCCCCUAGUAACGGCGAGUGAAGCGGGAAAAGCUCAAAUUUGAAAUCUGGUCGUCCACGGCGGCCCGAGUUGUAGUCUAGAGAGGCGUUAUCCGCGGCGGACCACGUACAAGUCCUUUGGGAUGAGGCGUCAUAGAGGGUGAGAAUCCCGUCCAUGACGUGGACUACCGUCGCUUUGCGUUGCGCCUUCAAAGAGUCGAGUUGUUUGGGAAUGCAGCUCAAAACGGGUGGUAAAUUCCAUCUAAAGCUAAAUACAGGCGAGAGACCGAUAGCGAACAAGUACCGUGAGGGAAAGAUGAAAAGAACUUUGGAAAGAGAGUUAAACAGUACGUGAAAUUGCUGAAAGGGAAACGCUUGAAGUCAGUCGCUUCGGCCGGGACUCAGUCGGGCUUUUGCCCGGCGUACUUCCCGYGUCGAGGGGCCAGCGUCAGUUUUCGGCGUCGAAGAAGGGUCGAGGGAAUGUGGCACCUUCGGGUGUGUUAUAGCCCUCGAUCGGACGCGGCGCCGGGGACUGAGGAACGCUUUAACAGGAUGCUGGCGUAAUGGCUUUAAGCGACCGUCUUGA
Molecule: ribosomal RNA, 567 nt
Filed under: Basidiodendron caesiocinereum var. trachysporum
Lineage: Eukaryota; Fungi; Basidiomycota; Agaricomycetes; Auriculariales; Exidiaceae
Description: eukaryotic LSU rRNA
Rfam family: Eukaryotic large subunit ribosomal RNA
Source: RNAcentral